Long non-coding RNA from Esox lucius (northern pike), 444 nucleotides. The record is from Ensembl. NCBI's taxonomy places the organism in Eukaryota, Metazoa, Chordata, Actinopteri, Esociformes, Esocidae.
GAUAUUUUUUGAAUGCCGAUUCACCUACAUAGCUAUGAAGUAAACUCUGUCUUGUGCCUUUCCAAAUGAUCAAGACUUUCAGGAUGCAGUCUCUUCAGAAUCAGCUGUUCCUGCCCAUUUUCCUGCUCAUGUCUGGUGCCGGGCCUAACAGAUGCAGCUUCAGGCUCAGCAGCCAUCUGCCCAUCCUCAUACCUCUGAACCAGCCCUACUCCCUGUCUGUCCAUACUCAUACCCCUGAACCAGCCCUACUCCCUGUCUGUCCAUACUCACACCCCUGAACCAGCCCUACUCCCUGUCUGUCCAUCCCCAUACCCCUGAACCAGCCCUACUCCCUGUCUGUCCAUCCCCAUACCCCUGAACCAGCCCUACUCCCUGUCUGUCCAUCCCCAUACCCCUGAACCAGCCCUACUCCCUGUCUGCCCAUCCCCAUACCCCUGAACCAGC